Molecule: long non-coding RNA, 417 nt
Filed under: Phoenix dactylifera (date palm)
Lineage: Eukaryota; Viridiplantae; Streptophyta; Magnoliopsida; Arecales; Arecaceae
Description: long non-coding RNA (PDAC_LNC003792)
Source: RNAcentral
UAACUCCCUUGAACCUCUUUCUCUUUCUUCUCUCUUGAAUGAUCUUGUGUUUGGUUGGUGAGAAGUUGUUUAAAGGCACUUAAAAGCUCCCUUUUAUAGCCCUACAAGCAAUAGAUCCAUUAGACACAAAAAUAUAGCCGUUUGAAAUUCAUACAAACCUGCAAAAGUGUGUCAGUCGUGUCCCAGGCGCUCCGGAGACGUCUCCGCUUGAACGCGAGACGUCUCGGCUGUAUAAAAAUUCUUUUGACGAUGUUUGGAGUCGACUCGGCGCUUUACGGGGACGUCUCUGAAGAAGAACAGCUUGAAUGCUUGUUUUUCUGUUUUUCUGAGAGAGUCGGCUCGGCACUUUACGGGGACGUCUCGGGAUGUUUGCGCUUUUUGCAUGGGGACGACUCCGCGACGUCGGGGACGACUCCG